GAUGAACGCUGGCGGCGUGCCUAAUACAUGCAAGUCGAGCGAACAGACGAGGAGCUUGCUCCUCUGACGUUAGCGGCGGACGGGUGAGUAACACGUGGAUAACCUACCUAUAAGACUGGGAUAACUUCGGGAAACCGGAGCUAAUACCGGAUAAUAUAUUGAACCGCAUGGUUCAAUAGUGAAAGACGGUUUUGCUGUCACUUAUAGAUGUAUCCGCGCCGCAUUAGCUAGUUGGUAAGGUAACGGCUUACCAAGGCGACGAUGCGUAGCCGAACUGAGAGGGUGAUCGGCCACACUGGAACUGAGACACGGUCCAGACUCCUACGGGAGGCAGCAGUAGGGAAUCUUCCGCAAUGGGCGAAAGCCUGACGGAGCAACGCCGCGUGAGUGAUGAAGGUCUUCGGAUCGUAAAACUCUGUUAUUAGGGAAGAACAAAUGUGUAAGUAACUAUGCACGUCUUGACGGUACCUAAUCAGAAAGCCACGGCUAACUACGUG
RNAcentral lists this ribosomal RNA (497 nucleotides) under uncultured bacterium. RNAcentral describes it as "partial 16S ribosomal RNA". It matches the Rfam family "Bacterial small subunit ribosomal RNA", at positions 28 to 507 of the family's 1533-position model. The record is from RNAcentral.